This 73-nucleotide unclassified non-coding RNA is filed under the name Candidatus Kentrum sp. TC. The record is from RNAcentral. Lineage: Bacteria; Pseudomonadati; Pseudomonadota; Gammaproteobacteria.
UCGAUCCGUGCGCGGGAGAACCGUACGCACGGUUCGGGGAGAGACGCGGGCGAAAGUUUGUCCCUACCCCUAU